RNAcentral lists this ribosomal RNA (615 nucleotides) under Klebsiella pneumoniae. RNAcentral describes it as "partial 23S ribosomal RNA". It matches the Rfam family "Bacterial large subunit ribosomal RNA", at positions 1 to 648 of the family's 2925-position model. The record is from RNAcentral. Lineage: Bacteria; Pseudomonadati; Pseudomonadota; Gammaproteobacteria; Enterobacterales; Enterobacteriaceae.
GGGUUGUGAGGUUAAGCGACUAAGCGUACACGGUGGAUGCCCUGGCAGUCAGAGGCGAUGAAGGACGUGCUAAUCUGCGAAAAGCGUCGGUAAGGUGAUAUGAACCGUUAUAACCGGCGAUGUCCGAAUGGGGAAACCCAGUGUGAUUCGUCACACUAUCGUUAACUGAAUACAUAGGUUAACGAGGCGAACCGGGGGAACUGAAACAUCUAAGUACCCCGAGGAAAAGAAAUCAACCGAGAUUCCCCCAGUAGCGGCGAGCGAACGGGGAGCAGCCCAGAGUCUGAAUCAGCUUGUGUGUUAGUGGAACGGUCUGGAAAGUCCGACGGUACAGGGUGAUAGUCCCGUACACCAAAAUGCACAGGUUGUGAACUCGAAGAGUAGGGCGGGACACGUGGUAUCCUGUCUGAAUAUGGGGGGACCAUCCUCCAAGGCUAAAUACUCCUGACUGACCGAUAGUGAACCAGUACCGUGAGGGAAAGGCGAAAAGAACCCCGGCGAGGGGAGUGAAAAAGAACCUGAAACCGUGUACGUACAAGCAGUGGGAGCACCUUCGGGUGUGACUGCGUACCUUUUGUAUAAUGGGUCAGCGACUUAUAUUCUGUAGCAAGGUUA